AUUAAUUUUCCUUGGGAAAUUUCCCCUAAAGACUAGGCCUAAUUUCAAACCCUUAUUCACAAUGUAAGAAUAUGUUUUACAACCAUACACAAAUCUCUAUAAGCGGUGUCUGAUUCUAAAUGUAUUUCUACAAUUAAUGUUCAUACAGAACAAACAUGACUGGAUAAAAAAGAUCCUGGCAACAAGUCAAGAUAAAAUAUAAAUACAUUUUGCAGGCUGGUAAGUGCCUUAACAGUUUGUAAAUGGUAUGUAGAAAUUACUUACAAGAUGCCUGCUACAUAUUCUGCUACAGUCUGGUGGCAGGAGAGUAACUGUGUCGCUGGACACACAAGGCCUGCAAGUACCUUGUAUGAAGAGGGCAGUUUUUGCAGGUGGUCAGUAGCUGUCCCACCUUGAAUCCCUUCCAUCACAGGCCUUCCUUGGUUUAAAACACAGUUACUCUCCUGCCACCAGACAAAGAUCCAGUGAGUAUUAUUCAUUAAAAGCACAUGGCUUGGUACAUCCUGUCAACACAAAUUAUAUUCAAUAUGGCAGGGGGAAGGAACUUCUGCAGUAUAGGAAGGGGCUUCUGCAGCUGAUGAUGAGGAGACUGUGUCACUGUACUCCAGAAGGCCUGAGGAUCCAGACGCAGUAGGCUACAGCCUGACAGCCAGCCUGGCAACAUAGUAAGUAUGGGCUAAAGGAAAUCUAAAUCAUGCACAAUUCCUGCUGUGCUAAUCAAUGGGUGGUUUAUAGAAUUCACAAACUGUCAGAUGUCUCUACUCAACAUCUGAAAAAGCUAAUUGAGCUGGCAGAUGCACAGAUUGCUGUCAGUAAAGGUCUCCAGGAUCUAGACCUUGGUAUUGAAAUCAAGAAGAAAACACUGAGGAAACUGUAUCUGGAGAUAAAGAAA
Molecule: long non-coding RNA, 892 nt
Organism: Hypomesus transpacificus
Lineage: Eukaryota; Metazoa; Chordata; Actinopteri; Osmeriformes; Osmeridae
Exons: 2
Source: RefSeq, a predicted model, not a curated record